RNAcentral lists this long non-coding RNA (248 nucleotides) under dengue virus type 1. RNAcentral describes it as "Dengue virus 1 partial sfRNA1". The stretch from base 149 to 220 matches the Rfam family "Flavivirus DB element". Lineage: Riboviria; Orthornavirae; Kitrinoviricota; Flasuviricetes; Amarillovirales; Flaviviridae. The record is from RNAcentral.
AAGAAGUCAGGCCGGAUUAAGCCAUAGCACGGUAAGAGCUAUGCUGCCUGUGAGCCCCGUCUAAGGACGUAAAAUGAAGUCAGGCCGAAAGCCACGGCUUGAGCAAACCGUGCUGCCUGUAGCUCCAUCGUGGGGAUGUAAAAACCUGGGAGGCUGCAACCCAUGGAAGCUGUACGCAUGGGGUAGCAGACUAGUGGUUAGAGGAGACCCCUCCCGAAACAUAACGCAGCAGCGGGGCCCAACACCAG